GCCAGGCACGGUGGCACACGCCUGUAAUCCCAGUGACUCAGGAGGCUGAGGUAGGAGGAUCAUGAGUUCAAAGCCAGCCUCAGCAACUUAGCGAGACACUUGGAGCUCAAUGAGACCCUGCCUCUC
This 126-nucleotide small RNA is filed under the name Marmota monax (woodchuck). The record is from RNAcentral. Lineage: Eukaryota; Metazoa; Chordata; Mammalia; Rodentia; Sciuridae.